UACAGAGGUCUCAAGCGUUGUUCGGAUUCAUUGGGCGUAAAGCGCACGUAGGCGGAUCGUUAAGUCGGGGGUGAAAUCCUGGAGCUCAACUCCAGAACUGCCUUCGAUACUGGCGAUCUUGAGUCCGGAAGAGGUGAGUGGAACUCCUAGUGUAGAGGUGGAAUUCGUAGAUAUUAGGAAGAACACCAGUGGCGAAGGCGGCUCACUGGUCCGGUACUGACGCUGAGGUGCGAAAGCGUGGGGAGCAAACAGG
This 253-nucleotide ribosomal RNA is filed under the name uncultured bacterium. RNAcentral's name for it is "partial 16S ribosomal RNA". It matches the Rfam family "Bacterial small subunit ribosomal RNA", at positions 524 to 776 of the family's 1533-position model. The record is from RNAcentral.